Molecule: ribosomal RNA, 468 nt
Filed under: uncultured bacterium
Lineage: Bacteria
Description: partial 16S ribosomal RNA
Rfam family: Bacterial small subunit ribosomal RNA
Source: RNAcentral
GACGAACGCUGGCGGCGUGCUUAACACAUGCAAGUCGAACGGAAAGGUCCGGCUUUUGUGGGGUGCUCUAGUGGCGAACGGGUAAGUAACACGUGAGUUACCAGCCCUUGCCUUUGGGAUAACUUAAGGAAACUGGGGCUAAUCCCGGAUAGGAUCUCUUGCUUCAUGGUGGGGGCUGGAAGGUUUCGGUGGUUGGGGAUGGACUCGCGGCCUAUCGGCUUGUUGGUGGGGUAGUGGCUUACCAAGGCUUUGACGGGUAGCCGGGCUGAGAGGGUCACAGGCCACAUUGGGACUGGAAUGAGGCACGGCCCCGUCCGGGAGGGAAGGGAGGAGAAGAUAGUACUAUGGGCGGGAGCCAGAUGUAGCCACGCCGCGUGGGGGAUGACGGGCUGGGGGUUGUAUUGCACAUUCGCCUGUGACGAAGCGUGAGUGACGGUAAUGGGUAAAUAAGCACCGGCUAACUACGUG